RNAcentral lists this long non-coding RNA (728 nucleotides) under Lathyrus oleraceus (garden pea). Its description in RNAcentral is "Pisum sativum (pea) long non-coding RNA (PSAT_LNC026781)". The record is from RNAcentral. Lineage: Eukaryota; Viridiplantae; Streptophyta; Magnoliopsida; Fabales; Fabaceae.
UCUCACACCAAUUGCUAUUAUGCUAAAGGUUAUAAUGGGUCAUAUUAAGUGAUAUUGUGGGUUGUCCACGUUACAUAGAACAUCAUGAUAUAAAAUGUAUAUUAUAAAAUAUAGAACAUCAUCCUAGACUCUUCAUUAAUCUAUUCUUGAAUCGGUUGUGUAGGAGUUGGUACUUGAGACAAAGAUCCAAUUUUAAUUUCUAGAUUUUUCUUUAACUUGUUGUUCUUGUUUUCAACGGUCUUUCCAGCAGUGUUGUUUUUAGACUUCUUAUUCUUGUUGUCACCCUUUGAUAUAACCCUACCAGCAACUUUUCCCCCUUACAACUCCAGUUGUGUCUCAUGGCUCUACACAUGUGGUAAGUAACUGUUGUAAGUUUUCUUUGCAGCACAUGUGAAUUUCUAGGCUCAUCAUAUGUCUUGUUCCUAAGAUUUUUGGGAUGACCAAUUCCCAUUCGCGUCAAGUCUCAUUUCAUGCAUGCAUAAGUUUCAUUUUGAGGUUUACACAAUAUGUUUCAAUACCAUUUGUUAUUCCAAAAAUGUCUAAUUCAUCAUCCUCAUGCCAUGUAGGUGACCAACCCCCUGCAACUUUCUUGUUCUUCUCAAGUAUCAGUUGAAUCCUUGGCCAAAUUUCUCCAGCAUACUUAAACAUCAUCUCCUCCUGAGAAGUACUCAUAUUUGUCAGAUAGUGAUUAAACCCUUCUAAUAAGGUGAUUAUAAGUUUGUCUUCUU